ACCCCUGUAGCGCAGAGGAUAGCGCGUUGGGCUUCUAACCCAUAGAUCGUGGAUUCGGAUCCCACCAGGGGUG
RNAcentral lists this transfer RNA (73 nucleotides) under Trichuris muris. Its description in RNAcentral is "snRNA TMUE_0100000420". It matches the Rfam family "tRNA". From Rfam's summary of the family: Transfer RNA (tRNA) molecules are approximately 80 nucleotides in length. Lineage: Eukaryota; Metazoa; Nematoda; Enoplea; Trichinellida; Trichuridae. The record is from RNAcentral.